Molecule: ribosomal RNA, 411 nt
Filed under: Actinomycetes bacterium
Lineage: Bacteria; Bacillati; Actinomycetota; Actinomycetes
Description: Actinobacteria bacterium partial 16S ribosomal RNA
Rfam family: Bacterial small subunit ribosomal RNA
Source: RNAcentral
UGGGGAAUAUUGCACAAUGGGCGCAAGCCUGAUGCAGCGACGCCGCGUGGGGGAUGACGGCCUUCGGGUUGUAAACUCCUUUCGCUAGGGACGAAGCUUUUUGUGACGGUACCUAGAUAAGAAGCACCGGCUAACUACGUGCCAGCAGCCGCGGUAAUACGUAGGGUGCGAGCGUUGUCCGGAAUUACUGGGCGUAAAGGGCUCGUAGGUGGUUUGUCGCGUCGUCUGUGAAAUUCCGGGGCUUAACUCCGGGCGCGCAGGCGAUACGGGCAUAACUUGAGUACUGUAGGGGUAACUGGAAUUCCUGGUGUAGCGGUGAAAUGCGCAGAUAUCAGGAGGAACACCGAUGGCGAAGGCAGGUUACUGGGCAGUUACUGACGCUGAGGAGCGAAAGCAUGGGUAGCGAACAGG